GACGAACGCUAGCGGCAUGCUUAAUACAUGCAAGUCGAGCGAACGGAUGAAGUGCUUGCACUUCUGACGUUAGCGGCGAACGGGUGAGUAACACGUAAGGAAUCUACCUAUAAGCGGGGGAUAACAUUCGGAAACGGGUGCUAAUACCGCAUAAUAUCUUCUUCCGCAUGGAAGAAGAUUGAAAGACGGCUCUGCUGUCACUUAUAGAUGACCUUGCGGUGCAUUAGUUAGUUGGUGGGGUAACGGCCUACCAAGACGAUGAUGCAUAGCCGACCUGUGAGGGUGAUCGGCCACAUUGGGACUGAGACACGGCCCAAACUCCUACGGGAGGCAGCAGUAGGGAAUCUUCCGCAAUGGGCGAAAGCCUGACGGAGCAAUGCCGCGUGAGUGAAGAAGGCCUUCGGGUCGUAAAACUCUGUUAUAAGAGAAGAACAAAUUGUAGAGUAACUGCUACAGUCUUGACGGUAUCUUAUCAGAAAGACACGGCUAACUACGUGCCAGCCGCCGCGGUAA
RNAcentral lists this ribosomal RNA (513 nucleotides) under uncultured bacterium. RNAcentral's name for it is "partial 16S ribosomal RNA". It matches the Rfam family "Bacterial small subunit ribosomal RNA", at positions 28 to 523 of the family's 1533-position model. The record is from RNAcentral.